AUACGGAGGGGGCUAGCGUUGUUCGGAUUUACUGGGCGUAAAGCGCACGUAGGCGGAUUGGUAAGUUGGGGGUGAAAUCCCAAGGCUCAACCUUGGAACUGCCCUCGAAACUGCCAGUCUUGAGUCCGGAAGAGGUGAGUGGAAUUCCUAGUGUAGAGGUGAAAUUCGUAGAUAUUGGGAAGAACACCAGUGGCGAAGGCGGCCACCUGGCCCGGUACUGACGCUGAGGUGCGAAAGCGUGGGGAGCAAACAGGAUUAGAUACCCCAGUAGUCC
This 274-nucleotide ribosomal RNA is filed under the name uncultured bacterium. Its description in RNAcentral is "partial 16S ribosomal RNA". It matches the Rfam family "Bacterial small subunit ribosomal RNA", at positions 523 to 796 of the family's 1533-position model. The record is from RNAcentral.